RNAcentral lists this ribosomal RNA (256 nucleotides) under uncultured bacterium. Its description in RNAcentral is "partial 16S ribosomal RNA". It matches the Rfam family "Bacterial small subunit ribosomal RNA", at positions 524 to 776 of the family's 1533-position model. The record is from RNAcentral.
UACGAAGGGGGCAAGCGUUGUUCGGAAUUACUGGGCGUAAAGGGCGCGUAGGCGGUGCACUAAGUCAGGCGUGAAAGCCCUGGGCUCAACCCGGGAAUUGCGCUUGAUACUGGUGCGCUUGAAUCCAGGAGAGGUUGGUGGAAUUCCCAGUGUAGAGGUGAAAUUCGUAGAGAUUGGGAAGGAAACACCGGUGGCGAAGGGCGGCCAACUGGACUGGUAUUGACGCUGAGGCGCGAAAGCGUGGGGAGCAAACAGG